AUACAGCAGAGCAGUGAGUGUGUGUGUGUGUGUGUGUGUGUGUGUGUGUGUGUGUGAAUGUGAAUGAACUUUUACCAUCCUGCAAGACACCACCACACCAAAUGGCUGAACUAACAGACUCCUAUUACUUAGGAUUUGACUUCAGCACCCAGCAGCUGAAAGUCGUUGCCAUUGAUGGCAGUCUUCAAGUUACUCACCAGAGUAAUGUACAGUUUGAUGGUGACCUUCCAGAGUUCAGGACUCAGGGGGGAGUUCACAUCCAUGAGAACAGAGUGACCGUAACCUCUCCAGUGCUCAUGUGGGUCAAGGCACUCGACCUGCUCCUUGAAAAGAUGAAGGGUGCUGGAUUUGACUUCUCUCGUGUGAAAGCUAUUUCAGGCAGCGGGCAGCAACAUGGCAGUGUAUACUGGAAAAAGGGAGCGAGAAAAACUCUGCAGCGUCUGGAUCCGGGAAGAUAUUUACACAGCCUGCUGCAGGAUAGUUUUGCUGUCCAUGACAGUCCAGUGUGGAUGGACUCCAGUACUACAGAGCAAUGUAAGAGCCUUGAGUGUGCAGUAGGGGGCGCUCAACAGCUUGCUGAUAUCACUGGGUCACGGGCCUAUGAGCGCUUUACUGCAAAUCAGAUUGCCAAGAUCUACCAGUUACAGCAGGACAGAUACAAUGAGACUGAGAGAAUCUCACUGGUCAGUAGCUUUGCUGCAUCUCUUUUUCUUGGUGAUUAUGCACCUGUUGACUUCAGUGAUGGUUCAGGGAUGAAUUUAAUGGACAUCUUCACUAAAAAGUGGUCAGAGCCAUGUUUGAAAGCCACUGCGCCUCAGCUGGCAGAGAAGCUGGGUAACCCCACACCACCAAAUGCAGUUCUGGGCUCUGUUUCUCACUAUUUCGUCAAGCGUUUUGGGUUCCCAGAAGACUGUAAAGUGGUGGCUUUUACUGGCGACAAUCCUGGAUCCUUGGCAGGGAUGCGGCUACAGGAGGGAGAUAUAGCGGUGAGCCUAGGCACGAGUGACACCGUGUUUCUGUGGCUCAAGGAACCCAGGCCUAUGGUGGAAGGACACAUCUUCUGCAACCCUGUAGACUGUCUGUCGUAUAUGGCUCUGAUCUGUUAUAAGAACGGCUCUCUGACUAGAGAACGGAUCCGUAACGAGUGUGCUGGAGGAUCAUGGGAAGAUUUCUCCGCUGCCCUGAGGUCCAGCCCCAUGGGGAACAAUGGAAACAUAGGAAUUUAUUUCGAUGCAGUGGAAAUCACACCUCCAGCGGUUGGGAUUCAUAGAUUUGAUCAGCAUGAUAAAGAAGUAGCUGCCUUCACCCUGGAGGUGGAAAUUCGAGCUCUGGUUGAAGGACAGUUCUUGGCAAAGAGAGUGCAUGCCCAGAAGUUGGGUUACAGGAUUAAUGGCAGGGUACGGACAGCUGUCUUGUCAGCUUUCAUCCACUGGAUGUAUUUGAAGGCCACGUUUUGGACAGAUGCGACCUUCUCUGCGAAGUACAGGGAACACGAGUUCUGGCGACAGGAGGGGCCUCAUCUAACAAGGACAUACUUCAGGUUCUGUCUGACGUGUUCAACGCUCCGGUGUACACCAUCGACGUGGCCAACUCUGCCUGCCUCGGCUGCGCCUACAGAGCUGUGCAUGGACUUGCCGCUGAAAUGGGAAUGUCAUAUGCAGAGGCAGUGAGUAAAGCCCCAGGAGCACAGCUCGCAGUGAGACCAACCCCAGGAGCUGAAAAGGUCUACGGACCUCUGCUGAAGAGAUAUGCAGAUCUGGAAGAGAAGAUUCUCAAGCACACAAUGACACUAUGAUUCACACACACUCAGUAUCGUUGAAGCGUCUUUCUGGGUGUUUUUUUCUUUAAAUCAGCCAAUAAACUGAUGAUGCCUUUAAUGUGAUUCUGUAUAAAGGAUGCUUCAUUGUUUUGUUUUUUUUAGGUGGAGAUGUAUGUGCACUGAUUCUGUGGAUGACUCACACUGUUCAGUGUUAAUUGUGGGCAGGAAGCAGCUCAGUGUGAUCAUUAAUCUGGCCUGACAGGUUGAAAUCUAUCACCACGUCAGGAGUAAAAUAAAAUAAAAAAAUGCUAUUGUGUACCAUAAUUCCAGUAUGAGCUGUGAAAUGAAGGAAUACAAUAACUGAUAGGAGCUGUUUGACUCGACCUUCCCCUUCCCCUUUCUAAGAUGGAGCACAAUUAUUUUCUAAAUAUAUAUGUGCGUGUGUGUUUCACUGAUACUUUGACCUAAGGCUGUGUUCUAUUAAUAAUAAUCCAUCUGAGUUUCACACAUUCCCACUCGCUGACACCGGUGUGCCUCGGCUGCCGCUUUAAAUCAAUUGGUCAUUAGUCUUCAGCUCCAGCCUUCGCUGCUGUUAAAUGUGAAGUGUACGGUAGUGUGCAUGCAUUAAUGUCACGGUUCUGCAGAGCCCUGUAAUGUAUUUAAGGCUACACAUCGUGCAUUAAUUAAGAUCAUCAGUUUGCCACUGUUUACACAUCUUUGGAUCAUAUGUUUCACUAUUUAUCCCCAGGAGACAUUUACGGGUGCUGAUGAUAAUCUGUUAGUGUUACACAGACCCAGUUAUCAGCAGUCUAAAUAAACUGGUGAAAACAUAUAGGAAAUUUUGAGUGGUGGUGACCCAGAUAAC
Molecule: RNA transcript, 2624 nt
Organism: Hemibagrus wyckioides
Lineage: Eukaryota; Metazoa; Chordata; Actinopteri; Siluriformes; Bagridae
Gene: xylb
Gene name: xylulokinase homolog (H. influenzae)
Exons: 20
Source: RefSeq, a predicted model, not a curated record